AGAAAAAAGAGGGGUGCCCAGUGCCCAUCGCCGUCGCCCUCUUUCGAAACAUCGCAACUCGCAAUUUGGGAAUACCUACUUACUUGGGACUCUUGGGAGUACUUGCUCAGUUGAUCAUACAUACUUGCGAGAGUAGCAUCAUCAUAUUACAUAUGUGUGUAUACACCACUAAACUUGGGCGGCACGUAUACCUUUGCAGUUUGACUGCAGUGCAGUGCGCGAGAGCUGUGUGUUUUUGUAAUUUUUGUUACGCUUGUAAUGAUAAUACAUCAUAUGACCUGAAGUGACGAUAAAGUGCUCAGAAGUGCAUGUAGCCGCGAUCAUUCAUUGUUUUUAAUAGGGAGUCAGUUAUUAUUUCUUUUCGAAUGUUUUUACCUUCUAAAUAAACCUCCGUGGAAUCCGUGGAUGAUAUAAUAUAUAUACACAUAUAUAUUAUACGUAUAUACAACUACCUAUACAAGAUUUUUGGAGCAGAGGAGCGUCAAACAAUAAACGCCACCAACAUACACACAUAAAAGGGCUCACUGUAAGCUCAACAAGUUGGCUGAACGAGCUUUGGCAUCAUCAUCACCAUGACUGUCAUAACGAAGGCGAUUAGCGAAAAAAAGUCCGGGGACAAAUUGGAUCAGCCAUUGGUCGUCCCCGUAGCCCAGAGCCAGGGCGAGGACGCAGCUGCCGAUCCCGAGUCCCAGUACCCGAAAAGCGACUACGUGAUAAGGAAGCGUUUUCUCAUAAUCGGCAGCAAUCGUUUGUCCAAUGGCGUAACGACUUACUGCCUGUUCUUGACCGGCUUGCUGGUGAUGCUGAUCGGCGUUUUUGGUGGCCUCUGCAUUUACAAGCUCUACACUCGCGAGCAGAUGCACAAGUAUCGCACCGGCUGGUACACCAUUCCGUACGAUCAGUCCUUCAGGAUGAAGGAGCUCAGGCAGAACCUCCUCUCCGAUCCCGAUCUCCUCAAGGAGUACGUCAAGGCCAAGGAGCCGCUGUCCAUGAAACUGCAGGGCGCACUCUUGGCCAAAGACGACAAUUACUUGCAAGAGCGCUUUGAGAUCGACCUCGACGACGGCUACGAGGACAUUUACGUACCGGACUUCCGGGGCGGUAGACAGGGCCGCUUCAUACACGAUUUCAGCACUAAUAAAACUGGAAUUAUCGAUGUGGAAGGCCAGUGCUGCUUUGUUAUGCCGUUGAAUCGCCAAAGAGUCUUACCGCCGCGCGACAUUUUGGAUCUUUUGAAGAAAAUGCGCAACGGAUACUACGAGGUGGACACCGAAGUUGUUAGAGAAACCAUGAAAAUCAUUUUCCCACCAGUUACCGAUUACGUCUCCGUUGGACCGUACAUAGCUCGUGAAUGUCAAGAUAUGCCCACUUAUUUAUUGCAACCAGUUAACGAAAAAGUACGCAAGCGCAGUGCAUCUGACGAGGUCUACUGUCAAUUCGCUGGAAAAAACAUCAUACAAUUUGACAUCGUCAACUUAGCAUCUGUUCUUAAUAAGAAAAAUUAAUGUUUAAUUAUAUCGCGUACGUACGAGUAAGAAAGAAAGAAUUGGCGUAUUGAUAUAAUCCAGUGAUAGUUGCAUGUCAUUUGUUGCGUAUAAUUCUUCCAUUUCUGGCCGUAGACAAAAGAAAUCAACUCGCGUACGAUCGGGCUGAAUGUAACUGCGUAAAAAUUUGGAAUUUUUUUUUUUUUUUUUUUUGAAAAACCAUUAAUUUGUGUGAUUUGAGAUGCAAUUGAUUGAUCUUGUGAUUGAUGUGCGGUGUGGUUGAUCAAAGUAUUAAAAUAUUUGAAAAAUAAGCAAAGAGCUUCAACGCCUUUGUAUAAAGGCACGACUGCUGCGUUUAUCACCAAAGCAAAAGUGUCAUGCAGAAAAUUCUACCUUGUGAAAAAAAAAAAAAAAAAUUCUCAAAAGUCGAACCUGAGAAAACGAGAUAUCUACAAAUUUUUACGUAGGCAGUAAAAUUUAUUGUUUUUUACGUGUUACUCUUUUUACCGUGUGGUGACAAUAUAAGGCAUACCUGUCGAGCAGUUGUGCUUACUUGUGUGAAGCAGUCGUGCCUAAAAAUAUUCCUACAUUUACGAAUGUUUCGACAAAUUCUACCGUGCAAGGCGAUUCAUCGAUGCAAUUAUCAAUUUUAUGUUCCCCUAUGCCAAAGCGUGAUGUUUCUACAAAUACUUGCAAAAACUUCAUGACUCAAAAGAAGUUAAUUUCCUAUCAAGCAUCCAACUUACUUGAAAUUUCUGUUAGCCAUUAAUACAAUUUUACUUUUCAAGCGUGUAUAUGUUAUUUAAACUUUACGUGAAUUGUUUUCAAACGUUAUUACGAUUGAGCAGUGAUAUUUGAUUGAGUAAUUAUUUUAAAAAAUCGUAUGCAUAAUUUUUUACAAGUAAUAAUUUUAACUUGCAUCAGUUGGAUACUUGAUGUUAUUUAUAAGAGCAAAGAGUAAGAUAUAAGUCGAAUUUAAAUAGUUGUAGUUUAUACGUUUGCCGAUUAGAAUCUUUAAAAAUCACAAUGUUUAUAGAAUUCAAUUACAUGUAAUACGACGUUUGAAUGAUGGAAUGAAAAUUGUAAGUUCUUAUACAAGAAAUAAAUAAAAGUUGAAAAUAA
RNAcentral lists this unclassified non-coding RNA (2606 nucleotides) under Copidosoma floridanum. RNAcentral describes it as "integral membrane protein 2C, transcript variant X2". The record is from RNAcentral. Lineage: Eukaryota; Metazoa; Arthropoda; Insecta; Hymenoptera; Encyrtidae.